This is a long non-coding RNA of Lagenorhynchus albirostris (white-beaked dolphin), 1096 nucleotides long. RefSeq lists it as uncharacterized. The record is from RefSeq and is a predicted model, not a curated record. The transcript is spliced from 4 exons. NCBI's taxonomy places the organism in Eukaryota, Metazoa, Chordata, Mammalia, Artiodactyla, Delphinidae.
GGCUCCCUGAGGGCCCCGGGGACAGCCUGGCCUUCGCGCAGCGGGAGGGCGUGGGAAGUUGUCCAGGACUCCGUGUUUGGGAUCGCUGGGGCCUCCCUCCCCUCUGUGGCCGCAGGAACGCGGGCCUCACCCGGUGCUCGGCCUUAACGGUGUAGGGACGUGAAGACCAGACAGUCUCUGCGGGCAAGGACAGCGCGUCUUUGACCACGGUUUAGAAUUCCCAAGUUUAUUUUUAAGUUUGUUUAAAAAAAAAAAGUGUCAAUCGUUGCUUCCUAGAUGGCCUUCUCUUAAAUGUAUAUAUCUCGAUGGUGACUUACUUGGGAAAUUUAAAAACCUCCGCCUGGGAUCGGUUCCUAUUUUCAGAACCAGCCUAGAACUUUCAAAUAACUUAAAUUUGAGCCAUUCCCUAUUAUUAGUUAAACGUAAAAUACAUGAGUAUGAGAGAGAGAAAGACAGACGGAGACAGACACUACAGGAGAUUGUACUAGGCUGGUGCAGAGAACGCAAAGACAGAAAGACAGUGCCCUCCUCAGACUUACUAGCGUGGCGAGAGGGGCGGCACCGGGCGGGCCCCGGGAAGCAAGAGGACAGAAGCCGGCAACCCUAGACGCAGUAAGAUAUUCUAGGAUGAGAAGCGCAAAGUGCUGUGGAGAUUCAAGGAAAAUGAUGCCCAUCACAGGUUAAUGACUUGCUGUGUCCUGCAGGCUCCCACGGCCCCCAUCUGAUGUGGCCAAAGACUCCAGAAGCACCAUUUGGAAUUUAAUUCAAGUCGUCUAUGUGGCCUCAUCUCAUCCAUCCCUGAACCUCCCAGGGUGAGAAGGAAAUAAAGCACCCACCCAGGCGGAGGAUGGAAUGAUGAUGUUGACGUUUUCUGACUUCAGUCAAGUAAAGCUUGGACUCCGUCAACCUUUGCCCCAAUUCUACACUGAAUUCUCCUCUGCUCAAGCCCCUUCAUUAAUUUGCAUGUACCCUUAGCUUAAAACUUCCCCAAUUUUGCUAUCCUGGGAGAUAUCCCAGGAUAUCCCAGGACCUUUGGGAAAGAUCCCCGGUGUUCUCCUUACUUGCUGCAAGUAAUAAUAAAUCUUUCUUUCUCCUG